RNAcentral lists this transfer RNA (90 nucleotides) under Hydrogenophaga sp. Its description in RNAcentral is "tRNA-Ser". It matches the Rfam family "tRNA". From Rfam's summary of the family: Transfer RNA (tRNA) molecules are approximately 80 nucleotides in length. Their secondary structure includes four short double-helical elements and three loops (D, anti-codon, and T loops). Lineage: Bacteria; Pseudomonadati; Pseudomonadota; Betaproteobacteria; Burkholderiales; Comamonadaceae. The record is from RNAcentral.
GGAGAGGUGGCAGAGUGGUCGAAUGUACCUGACUCGAAAUCAGGCGUGGUAGCAAUAUCACCGAGGGUUCGAAUCCCUCCCUCUCCGCCA